UAAUACUUUAAAAGUUAAAACAUUAAUGUUGUGGGUAUAAGUGAUGUGUUGUUUUAAGUAUUUUUUUAUGCACAAUUUUUUUAAGUAAGGAUUAGAGCGUCGAAUGUUUAAAAUGUUUGGUCAUAAUUACACAUGGUAUUUACGCAGGUAUCACUCCGCCAGAAAAGUAGAGACCUGUUUAUGUGUUUCGUGUUUCCAAAACAGGAAUGAAUGUUGUUUAUCUUCCUCUUCUAUCGGACUUUUGCUGAUGAGGUAUCACUCCGCCAGAAAAGUAGAGACCUGUUUAUGUGUUUCGUGUUUCCAAAACAGGUAUGUGGAUUUGUGUAUUAUUAUUUUUUUUGUGAUAAAACGUUUUUGUUAAUGUAAUUUAAAUUAUUAUUUUUGUAAGAAUGAAUGUUGUUUAUCUUCCUCUUCUAUCGGACUUUUGCUGAUGAGGUAUCACUCCGCCAGAAAAGUAGAGACCUGUUUAUGUGUUUCGUGUUUCCAAAACAGGUAUGUGGAUUUGUGUAUUAUUAUUUUUUUUGUGAUAAAACGUUUUUGUUAAUGUAAUUUAAAUUAUUAUUUUUGUAUGAAUGAAUGUUGUUUUUCUUCCUCUUCUAUCGGACUUUUGCUGAUGAGGUAUCACUCCGCCAGAAAAGUAGAGACCUGUUUAUGUGUUUCGUGUUUCCAAAACAGGCAUGCGGUAAAUUUAGGACUGCGCUCAGUCUCCUUGGACAUAUCAUCGCUCAUCCAUGCGGACUGGACACUGGCUGAGAGUGGAGUUGGUUGUCUUGGUUGCUUUGUUGGGUCUGCUCCUGUCUCUGGCCAUCCUCCCUCCUCCCCAGCGGACAAUGGCGUGGAACACCACAGAGGCCACCA
Molecule: long non-coding RNA, 858 nt
Organism: Nerophis ophidion (straightnose pipefish)
Lineage: Eukaryota; Metazoa; Chordata; Actinopteri; Syngnathiformes; Syngnathidae
Exons: 3
Source: RefSeq, a predicted model, not a curated record